AUGCACGCACGUCCACUCCGGCUCCCGUGCGCCGUCCACAUCGCCUGACCACUGCCCGGUGGGCUGUGCUAGCC
RNAcentral lists this small RNA (74 nucleotides) under Xanthomonas euvesicatoria pv. citrumelonis. RNAcentral describes it as "sX9". It matches the Rfam family "Xanthomonas sRNA sX9". RNAcentral also lists the same sequence under 30 other names. The record is from RNAcentral. Lineage: Bacteria; Pseudomonadati; Pseudomonadota; Gammaproteobacteria; Lysobacterales; Lysobacteraceae.